This 352-nucleotide unclassified non-coding RNA is filed under the name soil metagenome. RNAcentral's name for it is "partial contains 5.8S ribosomal RNA, internal transcribed spacer 2, and large subunit ribosomal RNA". The stretch from base 1 to 120 matches the Rfam family "5.8S ribosomal RNA", at positions 35 to 154 of the family's 154-position model. The record is from RNAcentral.
GAUGAAGAACGUAGCGAAAUGCAAUAAGUAAUGUGAAUUGCAGAAUUCAGUGAAUCAUCGAAUCUUUGAACGCACAUUGCGCCCGCCAGUAUUCUGGCGGGCAUGCCUGUUCGAGCGUCAUUACAACCCUCAGGCCCCCGGGCCUGGCGUUGGGGAUCGGCGGAGCCCCCCGUGGGCACACGCCGUCCCCCAAAUGCAGUGGCGGUCCCGCCGCAGCUUCCAUCGCGUAGUAGCUAACACCUCGCGACUGGAGAGCGGCGCGGCCACGCCGUAAAACACCCAACUCUUCUGAAGUUGACCUCGAAUCAGGUAGGAAUACCCGCUGAACUUAAGCAUAUCAAUAAGCGGAGGA